This 70-nucleotide transfer RNA is filed under the name Phycisphaerales bacterium. RNAcentral's name for it is "tRNA-Gly". Lineage: Bacteria; Pseudomonadati; Planctomycetota; Phycisphaerae; Phycisphaerales. The record is from RNAcentral.
GCGCGGUUUAGAGCUCACCACCCUCACGUUGCCAACGUGAAUGUCGUGGGUUCAAAUCCCAUCACCCGCU